This 495-nucleotide ribosomal RNA is filed under the name uncultured bacterium. Its description in RNAcentral is "bacterial SSU rRNA". It matches the Rfam family "Bacterial small subunit ribosomal RNA", at positions 15 to 507 of the family's 1533-position model. The record is from RNAcentral.
GAUCAUGGCUCAGAUUGAACGCUGGCGGUAUGCUUAACACAUGCAAGUCGAACGGUAGCAGGCCUUCGGGCGCUGACGAGUGGCGGACGGGUGAGUAAUGCAUAGGAAUCUGCCUAUUAGUGGGGGAUAACGUGGGGAAACUCACGCUAAUACCGCAUACGCCCUACGGGGGAAAGCUGGGGAUCUUCGGACCUGGCGCUAAUAGAUGAGCCUAUGUUGGAUUAGCUAGUUGGUAGGGUAAAGGCCUACCAAGGCGACGAUCUGUAGCGGGUCUUAGAGGACGAUCCGCCACACUGGAACUGAGACACGGUCCAGACUCCUACGGGAGGCAGCAGUGGGGAAUCUUGGACAAUGGGCGAAAGCCUGAUCCAGCAAUGCCGCGUGCGUGAAGAAGGCCUUCGGGUUGUAAAGCGCUUUUGUCUGGGAGCAAAUCCUGGCCUCUAAUACAGGUCGGGGAUGAGAGUACCAGAAGAAUAAGGACCGGCUAACUACGUG